GAUGAACGCUGGCGGCGUGCCUAAUACAUGCAAGUCGAGCGAACAGACGAGGAGCUUGCUCCUCUGACGUUAGCGGCGGACGGGUGAGUAACACGUGGAUAACCUACCUAUAAGACUGGGAUAACUUCGGGAAACCGGAGCUAAUACCGGAUAAUAUAUUGAACCGCAUGGUUCAAUAGUGAAAGACGGUUUUGCUGUCACUUAUAGAUGGAUCCGCGCCGCAUUAGCUAGUUGGUAAGGUAACGGCUUACCAAGGCAACGAUGCGUAGCCGACCUGAGAGGGUGAUCGGCCACACUGGAACUGAGACACGGUCCAGACUCCGACGGGAGGCAGCAGUAGGGAAUCUUCCGCAAUGGGCGAAAGCCUGACGGAGCAACGCCGCGUGAGUGAUGAAGGUCUUCGGAUCGUAAAACUCUGUUAUUAGGGAAGAACAAAUGUGUAAGUAACUAUGCACGUCUUGACGGUACCUAAUCAGAAAGCCACGGCUAACUACG
Molecule: ribosomal RNA, 495 nt
Filed under: uncultured bacterium
Lineage: Bacteria
Description: partial 16S ribosomal RNA
Rfam family: Bacterial small subunit ribosomal RNA
Source: RNAcentral